RNAcentral lists this ribosomal RNA (162 nucleotides) under uncultured bacterium. RNAcentral describes it as "partial 16S ribosomal RNA". It matches the Rfam family "Bacterial small subunit ribosomal RNA", at positions 355 to 509 of the family's 1533-position model. The record is from RNAcentral.
UAGGGAAUCUUCCACAAUGGGCGCAAGCCUGAUGGAGCAACACCGCGUGAGUGAAGAAGGGUUUCGGCUCGUAAAGCUCUGUUGUUGGAGAAGAACGUGCGUGAGAGUAACUGUUCACGCAGUGACGGUAUCCAACCNGAAAGUCACGGCUAACUACGUGCC